AAUAGAUACCCAGGUAGUCCACGCCGUAAACGAUGAGUGCUAAGUGUUAGGGGGUUUCCGCCCCUUAGUGCUGCAGCUAACGCAUUAAGCACUCCGCCUGGGGAGUACGGUCGCAAGACUGAAACUCAAAGGAAUUGACGGGGGCCCGCACAAGCGGUGGAGCAUGUGGUUUAAUUCGAAGCAACGCGAAGAACCUUACCAGGUCUUGACAUCCCAUUGACCACUAUGGAGACAUAGUUUUCCCUUCGGGGACAACGGUGACAGGUGGUGCAUGGUUGUCGUCAGCUCGUGUCGUGAGAUGUUGGGUUAAGUCCCGCGACGAGCGCAACCCUUGUUCUUAGUUGCCAUCAUUUAGUUGGGCACUCUAAGGAGACUGCCGGUGACAAACCGGAGGAAGGUGGGGAUGACGUCAAAUCAUCAUGCCCCUUAUGACCUGGGCUACACACGUGCUACAAUGGACGGUACAAACGGUUGCCAACCCGCGAGGGGAGCUAAUCCGAUAAAACCGUUCUCAGUUCGGAUUGUAGGCUGCAACUCACCUACA
This 544-nucleotide ribosomal RNA is filed under the name uncultured bacterium. RNAcentral's name for it is "bacterial SSU rRNA". It matches the Rfam family "Bacterial small subunit ribosomal RNA", at positions 777 to 1320 of the family's 1533-position model. The record is from RNAcentral.